AUUGAACGCUGGCGGCAGGCCUAACACAUGCAAGUCGAGCGGAUGAAGGGAGCUUGCUCCUGGAUUCAGCGGCGGACGGGUGAGUAAUGCCUAGGAAUCUGCCUGGUAGUGGGGGAUAACGUCCGGAAACGGGCGCUAAUACCGCAUACGUCCUGAGGGAGAAAGUGGGGGAUCUUCGGACCUCACGCUAUCAGAUGAGCCUAGGUCGGAUUAGCUAGUUGGUGGGGUAAAGGCCUACCAAGGCGACGAUCCGUAACUGGUCUGAGAGGAUGAUCAGUCACACUGGAACUGAGACACGGUCCAGACUCCUACGGGAGGCAGCAGUGGGGAAUAUUGGACAAUGGGCGAAAGCCUGAUCCAGCCAUGCCGCGUGUGUGAAGAAGGUCUUCGGAUUGUAAAGCACUUUAAGUUGGGAGGAAGUGCAGUAAGUUAGUACCUUGCUGUUUUGACGUUACCAACAGAAUAAGCACCGGCUAACUUCGUG
This 484-nucleotide ribosomal RNA is filed under the name uncultured bacterium. RNAcentral describes it as "partial 16S ribosomal RNA". It matches the Rfam family "Bacterial small subunit ribosomal RNA", at positions 30 to 507 of the family's 1533-position model. The record is from RNAcentral.